This 1396-nucleotide ribosomal RNA is filed under the name uncultured bacterium. RNAcentral describes it as "16S ribosomal RNA". It matches the Rfam family "Bacterial small subunit ribosomal RNA". The record is from RNAcentral.
AAGAGUUUGAUCCUGGCUCAGAUUGAACGCUGGCGGCAUGCCUUACACAUGCAAGUCGAACGGCAGCACGGGAGCAAUCCUGGUGGCGAGUGGCGAACGGGGGAGUAAUGUAUCGGAACGUACCUUUCAGUGGGGGAUAACGUAGCGAAAGUUACGCUAAUACCGCAUAUUCUGUGAGCAGGAAAGCAGGGGAUCUUAGGACCUUGCGCUGAUUGAGCGGCCGAUAUCAGAUUAGCUAGUUGGUGAGGUAAAGGCUCACCAAGGCGACGAUCUGUAGCGGGUCUGAGAGGAUGAUCCGCCACACUGGAACUGAGACACGGUCCAGACUCCUACGGGAGGCAGCAGUGGGGAAUUUUGGACAAUGGGGGCAACCCUGAUCCAGCCAUGCCGCGUGAGUGAAGAAGGCCUUCGGGUUGUAAAGCUCUUUCGGCCGGGAAGAAAUCGCAUCAGCUAAUACCUGGUGUGGAUGACGGUACCGGAAUAAGAAGCACCGGCUAACUACGUGCCAGCAGCCGCGGUAAUACGUAGGGUGCGAGCGUUAAUCGGAAUUACUGGGCGUAAAGCGUGCGCAGGCGGUUUUGUAAGACAGGCGUGAAAUCCCCGGGCUCAACCUGGGAACUGCGUUUGUGACUGCAAGGCUAGAGUAUGGCAGAGGGGGGUGGAAUUCCACGUGUAGCAGUGAAAUGCGUAGAGAUGUGGAGGAACACCGAUGGCGAAGGCAGCCCCCUGGGCCAAUACUGACGCUCAUGCACGAAAGCGUGGGUAGCAAACAGGAUUAGAUACCCUGGUAGUCCACGCCCUAAACGAUGUCAACUAGGUGUUGGGUGGGUAAAACCAUUUAGUACCGGAGCUAACGCGUGAAGUUGACCGCCUGGGGAGUACGGCCGCAAGGUUAAAACUCAAAGGAAUUGACGGGGACCCGCACAAGCGGUGGAUGAUGUGGAUUAAUUCGAUGCAACGCGAAAAACCUUACCUACCCUUGACAUGUCCAGGAGCCCUUAGAGAUUUGGGUGUGCCCGAAAGGGAACUGGAACACAGGUGCUGCAUGGCUGUCGUCAGCUCGUGUCGUGAGAUGUUGGGUUAAGUCCCGCAACGAGCGCAACCCUUGUCGUUAAUUGCCAUCAUUUAGUUGGGCACUUUAACGAGACUGCCGGUGACAAACCGGAGGAAGGUGGGGAUGACGUCAAGUCCUCAUGGCCCUUAUGGGUAGGGCUUCACACGUCAUACAAUGGUCGGUACAAAGGGUUGCCAACCCGCGAGGGGGAGCCAAUCCCAGAAAGCCGAUCGUAGUCCGGAUCGUAGGCUGCAACUCGCCUGCGUGAAGUCGGAAUCGCUAGUAAUCGUGGAUCAGCAUGUCACGGUGAAUACGUUCCCGGGCCUUGUACACACCGCCCGU